GGAGGUGGGGAGAGCUCCUGCCUAGCAUGCACAAGGUCCUGGGUUCAAUCCCCAGCACCUCCA
Molecule: transfer RNA, 63 nt
Filed under: Camelus bactrianus (Bactrian camel)
Lineage: Eukaryota; Metazoa; Chordata; Mammalia; Artiodactyla; Camelidae
Also listed under: 1 other name
Rfam family: tRNA
About the family: Transfer RNA (tRNA) molecules are approximately 80 nucleotides in length.
Source: Rfam by way of RNAcentral